AACGAACGCUGGCGGCAUGCCUAACACAUGCAAGUCGAACGAGACCUUCGGGUCUAGUGGCGCACGGGUGCGUAACGCGUGGGAACCUGCCUUUAGGUUCGGAAUAACUCAGAGAAAUUUGAGCUAAUACCGGAUGAUGUCUUCGGACCAAAGAUUUAUCGCCUUUAGAUGGGCCCGCGUUGGAUUAGCUAGUUGGUGGGGUAAAGGCCUACCAAGGCGACGAUCCAUAGCUGGUCUGAGAGGAUGAUCAGCCACACUGGGACUGAGACACGGCCCAGACUCCUACGGGAUGCAGCAGUGGGGAAUAUUGGACAAUGGGCGAAAGCCUGAUCCAGCAAUGCCGCGUGAGUGAUGAAGGCCUUAGGGUUGUAAAGCUCUUUUACCCGAGAUGAUAAUGACAGUAUCGGGAGAAUAAGCUCCGGCUAACUACGUG
Molecule: ribosomal RNA, 433 nt
Filed under: uncultured bacterium
Lineage: Bacteria
Description: partial 16S ribosomal RNA
Rfam family: Bacterial small subunit ribosomal RNA
Source: RNAcentral